This 119-nucleotide small nucleolar RNA is filed under the name Echinops telfairi (small Madagascar hedgehog). RNAcentral describes it as "Small nucleolar RNA SNORA61 (ENSETEG00000024638.1)". Lineage: Eukaryota; Metazoa; Chordata; Mammalia; Afrosoricida; Tenrecidae. The record is from RNAcentral.
ACCCUCUAGUUUCCUUGUCCAACAGCUCUAAACCCUGGUCUGGGUGCUUUUAAAAGGACAAGUAAAAUUGAAGCUGACUUUAAUCAUUUUUGUGACCCACAAGCUAGUUUCACACAAAC